Molecule: ribosomal RNA, 769 nt
Filed under: uncultured fungus
Lineage: Eukaryota; Fungi
Description: eukaryotic LSU rRNA
Rfam family: Eukaryotic large subunit ribosomal RNA (bases 137-769)
Source: RNAcentral
UCGUCUUCCUCNNCGGGGGUUGGCGUGCCCGAAAGAUAUUGGCUGGUGCUGCCUGAAGAGCAACGGAUUGACUUAUCUAAUCGUUGAACUCUAGGGAAGUGCGCCUAGGCUAGACAACCUCAACUUCUAUCAAGUUUAACCUCGGAUCAGGUAGGGAUACCCGCUGAACUUAAGCAUAUCAAUAAGCGGAGGAAAAGAAACCAACAGGGAUUGCCUCAGUAACGGCGAGUGAAGCGGCAACAGCUCAAANNGAAAUCUGGGUCUCUUGAGGCUCCGAAUUGUAAUUUGUAGAGGAUGUUUCGGGUGCGAUCUCAGUCUAAGUUUCUUGGAACAGUACGUCAUAGAGGGUGAGAGUCCCGUAUGCGACUGGCGAUCAACCCCAUCAGAAACUCCUUCGACGAGUCGAGUUGUUUGGGAAUGCAGCUCAAAAUGGGUGGUACAAUGCAUCUAAAGCUAAAUAUUGGCCAGAGACCGAUAGCGCACAAGUAGAGUGAUCGAAAGAUGAAAAGCACUUUGGAAAGAGAGUUAAAAAGUACGUGAAAUUGUUGAAAGGGAAGCGCUUGGAAUCAGACUUGCUUGCGGUUGAUCAACCGGUGUUCUCACCGGUGCACUCUGCCACAAUCAGCACUGCAUCGGUUUGGGUGGUUGGGCAAAGGCUCUAGGAAUGUAGUUUCUCUCGGGAAAUGUUAUAGCCUAGGGUGUAAUGCAGCCAACCUGGACCGAGGACCGCGCUUCGGCUAGGAUGCAGUGGUAAUGGUUCCAAGCGACC